This 1493-nucleotide long non-coding RNA is filed under the name Canis lupus familiaris (dog). Its description in RNAcentral is "lncRNA (ENSCAFG00000056916.1)". Lineage: Eukaryota; Metazoa; Chordata; Mammalia; Carnivora; Canidae. The record is from RNAcentral.
UUUUUUUUUUUUUUUUUUUUUUUUUUUUAGCAAAUCCAAAAUUUAAUGUUAGAGGAGGCUCUACCUACACUACACAAAUGAUUGAGUCCUUACCAAAUAUAAAAUUAACUUGGGCAUUCUGACCCUUGACUAUUUCUGCAAAGAUUUUUGCUUGAAAAUGAAACACAACUAAAAAUUUUAGUUGAGUAGGCACUACGUCCAGCAUGAAGCCCAAUGCCAGCCCAAACUUAUACGACCCUGAGAUCAAGAUCUGAGCCCAAAUCAAGAGUUGGAUGCUUAACGUACUAAACCACCCAGGCACCCUUUUUUUGCCCACUUUAAACAAUAUACAGGAAACAUAAUCAGAAACUAAGGGUUUUGUUUUUUAAAUCUUAAGAUUUUGAAUAGCCAGUUCGAAGGUCUGCUUAGAACUUUUAAAGGACUCAAAUUGCCAGUAGGAUAUUGAACUUUAAUAUAGCCAUCAUUGUAUUAAAUCAGCCUACUACUUCACUUUCUCACUGGUUCUCUUUCCCUUUAACAUGGUAGAUGAGAUGAGGUAUGUCUGAUAUGGCCCCUGCCUGCUUCUCUAGCUUAUUACCCACCCUCUCCCUUUUUCUGAGCUCCAGCCUUGAUUUCCAGGAUGUGCUAUUUUCCCAACUCAGGACUUUUGCCUUGCCUCCCAGAGGAUUCAUUCUACCUAGAAUGCUGUUUACCCCUUCCCUUACCACAUUUUAACUCCUCAUCCCAUCCAUCAGCUCUAGCUCAGAGAAAUACCAUGUGGGAGUGUGUGCCUGGGUGGCAAAGUCGGUUGAGUGACAGUCUCUUGACCUCAGUUCAGGUCUUGAUCUCAACAGUCUGAGUUUGAGCCCCACCUUCCUCCCCAACCCCCAUCCUGGGUAUGGAGACUACCUAGCUGGCUCAGUCUGCAGGGCAUGUAACUUUUUUAAGAUUUUAUUUAUUCAUGAGAAACACAGGCAGACAUAGGCAGAGGGAGAAGCAGGCUCCCCCGCAGGAGUCCUAGGAUCACGACCUGAGCUGAAGGCAGACGCUCAACCACUGAACUACCCAGGUCAGGUGCCUAAGCACGUGACUUGGUCUUGGGGUUGUGAGUUCAAGCCCCAUGUUGCAGUAGAGAUUGCUUAAAAAUAAAUUUUUAAAAAAAAUACCAUUUGUGAGUAAAACUUUGACUCUACUAGAUCAGUUCUUCAUGACACUCUUGGUAACCUAUACUUCAUGACUUAACAGUUUAUAAUAGUUGUUCAAUGUCUGUUUCCCCACUGGAUUACAAGUUCCAAGAUAUCAGAAAACCUGCUUAUCAUCCCUAGAGCAGUGUUGGCUAAAGAAAUUAGUCCCAAAGUAAAACUACUGUCUCAUAAUUACUAGGCAUGUAAACUACGUAGUACAAUUCAGUCCAUUCUUUGCAGCAUUUGUUUCCUGACUUAAUAGUAUAUAAGUAUUUAAUUGUAAACGUUUGCUUUCUUAGGCUUUUUUAAAAGGUUAAAACUGAGCAGUAA